UACGUAGGGUGCGAGCGUUAAUCGGAAUUACUGGGCGUAAAGUGUGCGCAGGCGGCCGAGCAAGUCGAGUGUGAAAGCCCCGAGCUUAACUUGGGAAUUGCGCUCGAAACUACUUGGCUGGAGUGUGGCAGAGGAAGGUGGAAUUCCAGGUGUAGCGGUGAAAUGCGCAGAUAUCAGGAAGAACACCCGUGGCUAAGGCGGCUCUCUAGUACGGUACUGACGCUGAGACGCGAAAGCGUGGGGAGCGAACAGG
RNAcentral lists this ribosomal RNA (253 nucleotides) under uncultured prokaryote. RNAcentral describes it as "partial 16S ribosomal RNA". It matches the Rfam family "Bacterial small subunit ribosomal RNA", at positions 524 to 776 of the family's 1533-position model. The record is from RNAcentral.